GUCAGAUGUGAAAGACCCGGGGCGUCAACCUCGGAAUUGCAUUUGAAACUAGGCAAACUAGAGUACUGUAGAGGGGGGUAGGAAUUUCAGGUGUAGCGGUGAAAUGCGUAGAGAUCUGAAGGAAUACCGGUGGCGAAGGCGGCCCCCUCGGACAGAUACUGACACUCAGAUGCGAAAGCGUGGGGAGCAAACAGGAUUAGAUACCCUGGUAG
This 212-nucleotide ribosomal RNA is filed under the name uncultured bacterium. RNAcentral describes it as "partial 16S ribosomal RNA". It matches the Rfam family "Bacterial small subunit ribosomal RNA", at positions 587 to 793 of the family's 1533-position model. The record is from RNAcentral.